This 194-nucleotide ribosomal RNA is filed under the name uncultured eukaryote. RNAcentral describes it as "partial 18S ribosomal RNA". It matches the Rfam family "Eukaryotic small subunit ribosomal RNA", at positions 1 to 193 of the family's 1831-position model. The record is from RNAcentral.
GGAACCUGGUUGAUCCUGCCAGUAGUCAUAUGCUUGUCUCAAAGAUUAAGCCAUGCAUCUAUAAGAUCAAGCGUUAUAUCGCUAAUCUGGAAAAAGCUCAUUACAACAGCUAUCAUUUAUUUGAUGAUUAACUUACUACAUGGAUAACCGUAGUAAUUCUAGAGCUAAUACAUGCGCAAAGUCCCGACUUUCUC